UAAGGAAUAUUGGACAAUGGAGGCAACUCUGAUCCAGCCAUGCCGCGUGAAGGAAUAAGGCCCUAUGGGUUGUAAACUUCUUUUAGACGGGACAAAACCCCUUUACGUGUAAAGGGUUGAUGGUACUGUCAGAAUAAGCAUCGGCUAACUUCGUGCCAGCAGCCGCGGUAAUACGAAGGAUGCAAGCGUUAUCCGGAAUUAUUGGGUUUAAAGGGUGCGUAGGCGGACUAAUAAGUCAGUGGUGAAAGCCUGCAGCUUAACUGCAGAAUUGCCAUUGAUACUGUUAGUCUUGAGUACAGUUGAGGUAGGCGGAAUGGGUCAUGUAGCGGUGAGAUGCUUAGAUAUGACACAGAACACCCAUUGCGAAGGCAGCUUGCUAAGCUGUAACUGACGCUGAGGCACGAAAGCGUGGGGAGCAAACA
RNAcentral lists this ribosomal RNA (422 nucleotides) under uncultured bacterium. Its description in RNAcentral is "bacterial SSU rRNA". It matches the Rfam family "Bacterial small subunit ribosomal RNA", at positions 355 to 774 of the family's 1533-position model. The record is from RNAcentral.